This 1462-nucleotide ribosomal RNA is filed under the name uncultured bacterium. RNAcentral's name for it is "bacterial SSU rRNA". It matches the Rfam family "Bacterial small subunit ribosomal RNA". The record is from RNAcentral.
GAUGAACGCUAGCGACAGGCCUAACACAUGCAAGUCGAGGGGCAUCGGGGAGCGAAGCUUGCUUUGCUCCGCCGGCGACCGGCGCACGGGUGAGUAACGCGUAUGCAACCUGCCCGUUUCAGCGGGAUAACCCGGAGAAAUCCGGCCUAAUACCGCAUGUGGCCGAGGGAAGGCAUCUUCUUUCGGCCAAAGGAGGCGACUCCGGAGACGGAUGGGCAUGCGUGACAUUAGCUUGUUGGCGGGGUAACGGCCCACCAAGGCGACGAUGUCUAGGGGUUCUGAGAGGAAGGUCCCCCACACUGGUACUGAGACACGGACCAGACUCCUACGGGAGGCAGCAGUGAGGAAUAUUGGUCAAUGGGCGAGAGCCUGAACCAGCCAAGUCGCGUGAAGGAUGACGGCCCUACGGGUUGUAAACUUCUUUUGUCAGGGAGCAAUUGGGUCCACGCGUGGGCUUAGCGAGAGUACCUGAAGAAAAAGCAUCGGCUAACUCCGUGCCAGCAGCCGCGGUAAUACGGAGGAUGCGAGCGUUAUCCGGAUUUAUUGGGUUUAAAGGGUGCGUAGGCGGAAUAUCAAGUCAGCGGUAAAAAUUCGGGGCUCAACCCCGUCGUGCCGUUGAAACUGAUGUUCUUGAGUGGGCGAGAAGUAUGCGGAAUGCGUGGUGUAGCGGUGAAAUGCAUAGAUAUCACGCAGAACUCCGAUUGCGAAGGCAGCAUACCGGCGCCCAACUGACGCUGAAGCACGAAAGCGUGGGUAUCGAACAGGAUUAGAUACCCUGGUAGUCCACGCAGUAAACGAUGAAUGCUAAUUGUCCGGAGGGAUUGACCUCUGGGUGAUACAGCGAAAGCGUUAAGCAUUCCACCUGGGGAGUACGCCGGCAACGGUGAAACUCAAAGGAAUUGACGGGGGCCCGCACAAGCGGAGGAACAUGUGGUUUAAUUCGAUGAUACGCGAGGAACCUUACCCGGGCUCAAACGCAGGAGGAAUACAUUUGAAAGGGUGUAGCUCUACGGAGUCUUCUGCGAGGUGCUGCAUGGUUGUCGUCAGCUCGUGCCGUGAGGUGUCGGCUUAAGUGCCAUAACGAGCGCAACCCCUAUCGACAGUUGCCAACAGGUGAAGCUGGGAACUCUGUCGAGACUGCCGGCGCAAGCUGAGAGGAAGGCGGGGAUGACGUCAAAUCAGCACGGCCCUUACGUCCGGGGCGACACACGUGUUACAAUGGCAGGUACAGCGGGAAGCCACUUGGCGACAAGGAGCGGAACCCGAAAACCUGUCUCAGUUCGGAUUGGAGUCUGCAACCCGACUCCGUGAAGCUGGAUUCGCUAGUAAUCGCGCAUCAGCCAUGGCGCGGUGAAUACGUUCCCGGGCCUUGUACACACCGCCCGUCAAGCCAUGGAAGCCGGGGGUGCCUGAAGUGUGCAGCCGCAAGGAGCGCCCUAAGGUAAAACCGGUGACUGGGGCU